UUCGCAAUGCCCGAAAGGGUGAACGAGCGACGCCGCGUGCGGGAUGAAGAGUUUCGGCUUGUAAACCGCUUUUCUUUGGGAAGAAGGUCUGUCUCGUGCAGAUGGGCUCGACGGCACCAGAGGAAUAAGCCUCGGCUAACUCCGUGCCAGCAGCCGCGGUAAGACGAACCGUGCGAACGUUAUUCGGAAUCACUGGGCUUAAAGCGCGUGUAGGCGGGUGGGAACGUCGGUCUUUGAAAGCCCCCGGCUCAACCGGGGAGGCGGAGCCGAAACGACCGAUCUGGAGGGACGUAGGGGGACCUGGAACUUCCGGUGGAGCGGUGAAAUGCGUUGAGAUCGGAAGGAACGCCCGUGGCGAAAGCGAGGUCCUGGACGUCUGCUGACGCUGAGACGCGAAAGCUAGGGGAGCAAACGGGAUUAGAUACCCCGGUAGUCCUAGCCGUAAACGAUGGGCACUAAGUAGAGGGGUUUU
This 472-nucleotide ribosomal RNA is filed under the name uncultured bacterium. RNAcentral's name for it is "bacterial SSU rRNA". It matches the Rfam family "Bacterial small subunit ribosomal RNA", at positions 364 to 832 of the family's 1533-position model. The record is from RNAcentral.